CGAUGUCUACUAGCCGUUGGGGCCUUUGAGGCUUUAGUGGCGCAGCUAACGCGAUAAGUAGACGCCUGGGGAGUACGGUCGCAAGACUAAAACUCAAAUGAAUUGACGGGGGCCCGCACAAGCGGUGGAGCAUGUGGUUUAAUUCGAUGCAACGCGAAGAACCUUACCUGGUCUUGACAUAGUAAGAACUUUCCAGAGAUGGUUGGUGCCUUCGGGAACUUACAUACAGGUGCUGCAUGGCUGUCGUCAG
This 250-nucleotide ribosomal RNA is filed under the name uncultured bacterium. RNAcentral's name for it is "partial 16S ribosomal RNA". It matches the Rfam family "Bacterial small subunit ribosomal RNA", at positions 807 to 1058 of the family's 1533-position model. The record is from RNAcentral.